This 495-nucleotide ribosomal RNA is filed under the name uncultured bacterium. RNAcentral's name for it is "partial 16S ribosomal RNA". It matches the Rfam family "Bacterial small subunit ribosomal RNA", at positions 29 to 506 of the family's 1533-position model. The record is from RNAcentral.
AUGCACGCUGGCGGCGUGCCUAAUACAUGCAAGUCGAGCGAACAGACGAGGAGCUUGCUCCUCUGACGUUAGCGGCGGACGGGUGAGUAACACGUGGAUAACCUACCUAUAAGACUGGGAUAACUUCGGGAAACCGGAGCUAAUACCGGAUAAUAUAUUGAACCGCAUGGUUCAAUAGUGAAAGACGGUUUUGCUGUCACUUAUAGAUGGAUCCGCGCCGCAUUAGCUAGUUGGUAAGGUAACGGCUUACCAAGGCGACGAUGCGUAGCCGACCUGAGAGGGUGAUCGGCCACACUGGAACUGAGACACGGUCCAGACUCCUACGGGAGGCAGCAGUAGGGAAUCUUCCGCAAUGGGCGAAAGCUUGACGGAGCAACGCCGCGUGAGUGAUGAAGGUCUUCGGAUCGUAAAACUCUGUUAUUAGGGAAGAACAAAUGUGUAAGUAACUAUGCACGUCUUGACGGUACCUAAUCAGAAAGCCACGGCUAACUACGU